CCUACGGGCGGCAGCAGUGAGGAAUAUUGGUCAAUGGACGAGAGUCUGAACCAGCCAAGUAGCGUGAAGGAUGACUGCCCUAUGGGUUGUAAACUUCUUUUAUAUGGGAAUAAAAUGUUCCACGUGUGGGAUUUUGUAUGUACCAUAUGAAUAAGGAUCGGCUAACUCCGUGCCAGCAGCCGCGGUAAUACGGAGGAUCCGAGCGUUAUCCGGAUUUAUUGGGUUUAAAGGGAGCGUAGGUGGAUUGUUAAGUCAGUUGUGAAAGUUUGCGGCUCAACCGUAAAAUUGCAGUUGAAACUGGCAGUCGUGAGUACAGUAGAGGUGGGCGGAAGUCGUGGUGUAGCGGUGAAAUGCUUAGAUAUCACGAAGAACUCCGAUUGCGAAGGCAGCUCACUGGACUGCAACUGACACUGAGGCUCGAAAGUGUGGGUAUCAAACAGGAUUAGAGACCCCAGUAGUC
RNAcentral lists this ribosomal RNA (460 nucleotides) under uncultured bacterium. RNAcentral describes it as "partial 16S ribosomal RNA". It matches the Rfam family "Bacterial small subunit ribosomal RNA", at positions 338 to 795 of the family's 1533-position model. The record is from RNAcentral.